This 428-nucleotide ribosomal RNA is filed under the name uncultured bacterium. RNAcentral describes it as "bacterial SSU rRNA". It matches the Rfam family "Bacterial small subunit ribosomal RNA", at positions 355 to 774 of the family's 1533-position model. The record is from RNAcentral.
UGGGGAAUAUUGGGCAAUGGGCGAGAGCCUGACCCAGCGACGCCGCGUGAGGGAAGAAGGCCUUCGGGUCGUAAACCUCUGUCAGGAGGGAAGAAGUGGUAAGCCCUAAACAGGGGCUUUCCUUGACGGUACCUCCAGAGGAAGCACCGGCCAACUCCGUGCCAGCAGCCGCGGUAAUACGGAGGGUGCAAGCGUUAUUCGGAAUCACUGGGCGUAAAGCGCGCGUAGGCGGCUUCGUAAGUCAGAUGUGAAAGCCCUCGGCUCAACCGAGGAAUUGCAUUUGAAACUGCGGAGCUAGAGUUCGGGAGAGGGUGGCGGAAUUCCAGGUGUAGGAGUGAAAUCCGUAGAUAUCUGGAGGAACACCAGAGGCGAAGGCGGCCACCUGGACCGAAACUGACGCUGAGGUGCGAAAGCGUGGGGAGCAAACA